This 513-nucleotide ribosomal RNA is filed under the name uncultured bacterium. Its description in RNAcentral is "partial 16S ribosomal RNA". It matches the Rfam family "Bacterial small subunit ribosomal RNA", at positions 28 to 523 of the family's 1533-position model. The record is from RNAcentral.
GACGAACGCUGGCGGCAUGCCUAAUACAUGCAAGUCGAGCGAACAGAUGAAGUGCUUGCACUUCUGACGUUAGCGGCGAACGGGUGAGUAACACGAAAGGAAUCUACCUAUAAGCGGGGGAUAACAUUCGGAAACGGGUGCUAAUACCGCAUAAUAUCUUCUUCCGCAUGGAAGAAGAUUGAAAGACGGCUCUGCUGUCACUUAUAGAUGACCUUGAUGUGCAUUAGUUAGUUGGUGGGGUAACGGCCUACCAAGACGAAGAUGCAUAGGCGACCUGAGAGGGUGAUCGGCCACACUGGGACUGGGACAAGGCCCAAACUCCUACGGGAGGCAGCAGUAGGGAAUCUUCCGCAAUGGGCGAAAGCCUGACGGAGCAAUGCCGCGUGAGUGAAGAAGGCCUUCGGGUCGUAAAACUCUGUUAUCAGAGAAGAACAAAUUGUAGAGUAACUGCUACAGUCUUGACGGUAUCUUAUCAGAAAGCCACGGCUAACUACGUGCCAGCCGCCGCAGUAA